GGUGUUAAGUGGUGGUAGCACGUGAUUGGCCCGAGGAAUUAUAGACACACUGAUCCUAUCCAGCAGCUACCCACAAUUCAAAGCAUUAAACAACUGAAGUUCAGGCAACAAUACACCAUUUAUGUUUACCUGUGGACUUAGAAAAAGUUGAGAGCGCUGUGCAUUCCCAGGCCUAUUGUGGCGUUAUUAUUAAUUUCCGACAAGUAGUGUAAUCAUUAGAAAUGAUCUGAAUAGUGAGAAGAACAAAAUGAGGUAGGUUAUUACCACGUAGUGUGUAAUGGCUUAAACUAUAAUAAAACCGUCCUUUCUUCUUAGCUCCAGCAUCGGCGCCAAAAUAUUCUUUAAUCCUUUAAAGACUCCCCACUAAAGAAGUACAUCCUGGAGGGUCAUACCCGCGCCCUGGGCAACGGGUCUUCCCUUGUCAUUGCGGUUUGGGGACACAAUAUUCCAGAAGUGCCCCCUCUCCUGCAGGAUUCAUUCAUCAUAGGGGAUUGGACAGUCACCUGCCGGCGUGUUGAGAGGGGUGGUAAUCCCCCUCCCAAUAUGCCAAGGUGAGCCCCCUUGGUGAGGAUAUGACCUUACCAGAAAUAUGCAGCUCUACUAAAGCCAGGGACGGGUUGCCUUGAUCCCCCCGCCCCAUCUUUCACGCUCCACCUUGAGUCGUUAGGUCAAGCUCAAGGUCACUGGUGACCUGCCCUCGGCUGUGUAUAUAGGUCAUCUGGUGUACUCGCCUCGUCCCUACAUGCUGCCUAUCCUGAGGUGCCCCGCAUGCCAACGCCUUGGCCAAUCCAUUAACACUUGCCGCUCAGCGAUCCGCUGCUCAUCCCUGUGGACCAUCUCCAUAUAAAGGCCCGCGUCACCUAGUAUUGCAAGGUGACAAUCUCCAACAACAACAGCAGCUCACGCUGUAGUAGCCCCCACACAUCCAAAAGGAACUGACGCCACCUCGUCCAUCCAGCUCCUCUUCCAAGAGUACGUUGGCUGUACCGGCCUCUUCUAGACUGGUGGAUCCCUCCAUCCCCUUCAGUCAUGGUCACCUCAAAUAACCGUUACAAGUCCCUGCAAGACCUGCUCGAGGAAGAGUAUACAUCUGGCAAUCACCAUCACCUGCUGCAUAACCUCCACCGUCUCUCUCUCUCUUUAAAAUUUAUGGCCUAUCUUCCCCUUUGUACAUUUAGUAGUAGUACAGUAAAUAAUGUUUGUUUCUUUGGUACUUCGUAAUUGCACUCUACCCUUACCGAAUGACUCUCUCCCCCUCCACCUCUCAAUAUUCACGGGUUGCAGUUGCAAUUUUGUACUUAUAUUAAUUAUGGAGGAAAAAUGUAUCACUUUAAAGAAACAAAUACGAGUGUCUCGCCGUCAUUUUUAUGCCUAAAGUUUGUGGAUUUCAGGAAGAGAAGUGCUGUAACUAUUAAAAUCAGACUCAUUUUCCUUUCUUCCUCUUAUUUUCCUUCCUUCAUUUCAAUACAAUAAUAGCUUAGCCAAGGGCUAUCUGUCUGAUUCUAUCUAUGGUGGCAUAGUUGGGGAGGGGGUUGAGUGGGUGGUGCAGGGGGGAAGGGGGCCCCAGCUUGCAAAAGGUUGAGAACCCCUGAUACAUAGCAAUAUAUUCUUGAUUAAACAUUGCAUUGAAGUCAGCUGGCAGUUGAUGUGCUGUGGCAUCUAGCUUGUGAGACUUGUACUGCAGCAGCUAACACAUCAGGUAGCAGCACAAGGCAGGGAUGACACCCUCCACUCGGCUCUACCUGACGUGAGACCCAGCAACGAGGCACCACCAUCUUUGAUUACAGACAACAUGGCAAUAACAGCACCAGGUAGGGAGGACACCCAGCACUGGCUGUAGACACCCUAUACUUGGCUCUUCCUGAUGUCAGAUCUUGCAAUGAAGUAGCAUCAGCCUUGAUUGCAGACAGGAUGGCAGCAGUAGCAACAGGCUGGAAGACUCAGCAGUAGACACCCUCCAUUUGCUUCUUCAUGAUUUUGGAUCCUGUGAUGAGGUGAGGCACCACCAGAAGUGUAUCUAUAUACCAGACCAGCAGUCCUACAUAGGGAGGUCGAGAUAAGGUACCAUACAUUCACACAUGCACACAUACACGCACACAGAUGAGCAAGAUUGUGAAUACCAUAACAUAUUAACAUCUUUCCAUUCUGACAUCACCUCUUGAGUGCGUCUUGUUGAGCUUGAAGAUGUUGAACCAUUCAUUGAGCUCCUUGCAUACAUCCUCAAAAUGCUGAACCAAUCCACCACGCUAUGUUGAUGAAACUCAGUUUGCCCUUCUCCAUCUUCAGCAUCUCCUCUCGUAUUCAAUCAACCUCCUCAGUUGUUUGUAGCACCAGCCCUCUCUGGGUCUCUGCAUGACACCCACGUCCUUCGUUUCGCACCGACUUCACAGCAUCCACCACAUUCCUCGUGGUCUCUUCUUCUCCGACAUACUCCAGACCAUUUCUUCCUUGGAUGAUCAACAUCUUGUCCCUCAUGUUGGCUGCUUCUUCCACACUCUUCCUGAUGUCAGUAAUCUUCACACCAUUUAAGCUGGUGCAGCUGCUCCCUCUCAUCAUGCACUUGACAUGGCUGGACAUUAUCUUAAUGCUGUUGCCACCAAUCUUAAUCAGUGCCUUUCUCUGCCUUAUCUUCAUGGUCUGCCAGUUUGGUCUUGGCUGGGGGUUCUCACUGCCAGGACACUUUCAUGUCUGAUGGGCUGGGGUUCAACAAGAUCUAUCCCUAUUACAUUCUAUUUCUUCUUGUCUGCUACUCUGCAGUUGUAGGCACUGCUAUCCCUUCAUACAUUUGAUAAACGUUCAUUCCAAAUGUUCCAAUCUCAAACCAAUUCAUACCUCUCACCUUUCAUUUCCUUUACCCCAGCUCCAACCUAUUUCUUCAUCCAUUGCUACUACAGACCCAAAAUAAUUGAAAGUCUACUUCCCAACUGCUCACCAUUCAGCCUUACAUUCAUCCUACUACCCAUCUCCCUGGACCCCCUAAAAAGAAAUUUCUCAUUAAAUAUAAAAAAAAACCUACCUUCCCAAUUAUUUUUACACAUACACAGACAAGAUUACCUAAUAAUGAAUAGAACUGCAGUAUGGAGAAUGAAGCCUGCAAAUUUCAUAGGCAAUUAGAUUUUGGUCAUAAAUACAAGAUAAACAUACCACAGUAAGAUUUAUUUAAUACAGUUGCUGUGGUUUACCCAUUGUGGACUUGAGGUGAAGAGAACGAACAUUCUGCCAGUGCUUCUUAAGGAGGGACACCAAGAAGUUCAUUGCCAGGUAAAUGUUCUGCACCAAUUCAUCGGGACCCAUUGUCACGUGCCCAAUGCAGACAGAGAGGCACAACAC
Scylla paramamosain (green mud crab) is the source of this 3330-nucleotide long non-coding RNA. RefSeq lists it as uncharacterized. The transcript is spliced from 2 exons. Lineage: Eukaryota; Metazoa; Arthropoda; Malacostraca; Decapoda; Portunidae. The record is from RefSeq and is a predicted model, not a curated record.